AACGAACGCUGGCGGCAUGCCUAACACAUGCAAGUCGAACGAGACCUUCGGGUCUAGUGGCGCACGGGUGCGUAACGCGGGGGAACCUGCCCUUAGGUUCGGAAUAACUCCCCGAAAGGGGUGCGAAUACCGGAGAAUGUCUUGCGACCCAAGAUUUGUCGCCUUUGGAUGGGCCCGUGUUGGAUUAGCUAGUUGGUAGGGUAAAAGCCUACCAAGGCGACGAUCCAUAGCUGGUCUGAGAGGAUGCUCAGCCACACUGGGACUGAGACACGGCCCAGACUCCUACGGGAGGCAGCAGUGGGGUAUAUUGGACAAUGGGCGAGAGCCUGAUCCAGCAAUGCCGCGUGAGUGAUGAAGGCCUUAGGGUUGUAAAGCUCUUUUACCCGGGAUGAUAAUGACAGUACCGGGAGAAUAAGCUCCGGCUAACUCCGUG
RNAcentral lists this ribosomal RNA (433 nucleotides) under uncultured bacterium. RNAcentral's name for it is "partial 16S ribosomal RNA". It matches the Rfam family "Bacterial small subunit ribosomal RNA", at positions 29 to 507 of the family's 1533-position model. The record is from RNAcentral.